GAUGAACGCUGGCGGCGUGCCUAAUACAUGCAAGUCGAGCGAACGGACGAGAAGCUUGCUUUUCUGAUGUUAGCGGCGGACGGGUGAGUAACACGUGGAUAACCUACCUAUAAGACUGGGAUAACUUCGGGAAACCGGAGCUAAUACCGGAUAAUAUUUUGAACCGCAUGGUUCAAAAGUGAAAGACGGUCUUGCUGUCACUUAUAGAUGGAUCCGCGCUGCAUUAGCUAGUUGGUAAGGUAACGGCUUACCAAGGCAACCAUGCAUAGCCGACCUGAGAGGGUGAUCGGCCACACUGGAACUGAGACACGGUCCAGACUCCUACGGGAGGCAGCAGUAGGGAAUCUUCCGCAAUGGGCGAAAGCCUGACGGAGCAACGCCGCGUGAGUGAUGAAGGUCUUCGGAUCGUAAAACUCUGUUAUUAGGGAAGAACAUAUGUGUAAGUAACUGUGCACAUCUUGACGGUACCUAAUCAGAAAGCCACGGCUAACUACGUG
RNAcentral lists this ribosomal RNA (497 nucleotides) under uncultured bacterium. RNAcentral's name for it is "partial 16S ribosomal RNA". It matches the Rfam family "Bacterial small subunit ribosomal RNA", at positions 28 to 507 of the family's 1533-position model. The record is from RNAcentral.